Long non-coding RNA from Astatotilapia calliptera (eastern happy), 1647 nucleotides. NCBI's taxonomy places the organism in Eukaryota, Metazoa, Chordata, Actinopteri, Cichliformes, Cichlidae. The record is from Ensembl.
CUGCACUGCAGUGGAUUGUAUCAUGGUUUUAAUAGUUUUGCAAUUUUCAUUAGUUUUUAUUUUUAUUUAGUUUUGACUUCAGAUUUUCAAUUUUAUAUCAGUUUUAAUUAGUUUUUACCAAUUGUUUGCUAGUUUAGUUUAGUUUUUAGUUUUUUGAAAAUCCUUAGUUUCAGUUUAGUUUUGAUUAGUUUCAGUUAUAGGUUUAGUUGUGUUUGCAAUAAUUAAGUGUAACAAAAUCCCAGUUUCAUCAUAUCAGUCAUGCUCUUCUGCUCAUCCUUGGGUAUGUUGCUAUUCCAGCUACCAUACCCUGCACCCUGCACAGGUCGCCUGUCUGUCGCAGGGCUAACACGCAGAGACAGACAACUCACAUUCCCACCUAUGGGUUCUUUAAAUAAAUAAAUAAAUAAAGGCAGAUGAACAACCAUUGAUACCAGGCAACUAUAAAAUGUAUAUCUUGGCCCCAAUGAGACUAUUAACUCUUGCAGCACCGGGUGUUCAUAAUUUUGGUUCAAGUGAAUUGAUAAACUUUGUGAAGGCAAUUGACUCACACAGUUGUGUAGAUGUCCCCGUCCUGCUGUCUCGGGAUGCAUCACGCUGCCUUGCCUGGGGUUAGCUUCUGUUUUCUGGGGAUGAGGGUUGAGUGUGCUCCCUUACCUUCUCAAGGUAAGCUAGGUUAGCCUUCUUGUGUGAGCUUUUCAAGUGCACUUUAAGGUUUGUGGGAUUUUUUUCCCUUUAGAAAUGUCCCUCAUAAUUUGUCUCUUUCCACUACAAGACACUUGCUUUAUCCAAAACACAGUCAUAUUCAAAGUAAUCCCAAAUUGGACUCUGGCGCUUUCUCCUGACUUUUCCUGACAUGAUUCUGCGCGUGGACGGAGCAGCAACACAGACGACUCGACUAACGUGCUGCCACCUGCUGGCAUAAUGAGACAGCAAGAAAAAAUCUGGAAACUAAACUUCAUUUUCACCCUCGACUAUUGUAGGACACGCACACAUCAACGAAAACUAAACACAUUUUGCUAUAAAUUCAGUUAAUUUUAGUUAGUUUUGUGGACACUCAUUACAGUUUUAGUUAGUUUUCCUUUUUUUGUUUUUAUUUUUAUUUCCGUUAACGAAAAUGUUUUUUCACUUCUAGUUUUCGUUAUUUCGUUCAUUUUCGUUAACGAUAAUAAUCUUGGUUAUUGCUCAAUUAUAAGAUGAUAAAAAAACACUCGGGAGGGUCACCAACAAUUUGCCUACUGUUUGUGUUUGCCAUCCUGAUUAAUGGCAGUGGGUGUUACCUCAAAAUGAGGCUGAAUUACUUCUGCAGUCAAACACCUGGAAGCCUUAGCUUUAACCCCAUGAUAAAAAAAAACAACAAACAAAAAGACCAACUUUCCCUGUCUUUGUACCUCGAGGCCCUCCAGCCAGGCUCCAUUAUUAAUACACUUGUCUGCUAAAUGCUUUAUCCAUUCUUUACCCAACUUAGUUUAAAUCAAAUCCCAAAAUGUCCCCAUCUCCAACCUCAUCUCUCUUGUGCAUUUUCUGUUCUUGCAAAAAGAUCUCAUAAGUACCAAAACACACACGCAAAUGUCGAGCACUCUGUGACGUUAGCGAUGCUAUCUUGAGAUCAAAGUAGCUGGCUGCGUUUUAUAACUCAAGUAGUCCAAU